AUCUAUGUAACAGUUGGCACAUAGGAGGUGCUUGAUAAAUAUCUUAAUUAUUCCCUUUAGAGCUAUUACUAUUACUAGUUACUUUUUGAUUGCUAGAGUAGUACUGUUUUAGCAAUCAGAAAAGAGACAUAAUAGGAUGAAAUGGCCAGUGGUUCCCAUUGGGAAUUAGAAAUUAGGAAAGAGAGAGGAAAGACACAAUGAGGCACUCCUUUCGGUUGUCUAGUUUUUGUUCACAACGCUCAGCAGCCAUUGCCACACUGAAUUUUCUUUUCUCAAGUUUACUUCCUUUUCUCCUCUUUCUGUCUUUUCAUCUAUAAAGUCUAAAUCAGGUACCACUACUAGAGAGAGAAGCUGGACCAAAAAUUCUAGUUCCCUAUGCUCCUUCACCCCAGUCUCUGAUUAUAAUGCAGGUUCUGCAGACUGUUGCAGCUGGACAUACCACCAUGUCCCCUGUCCACUAUGUAUGGUCAAGAGAACAGUCUCUCAACUCAAAUACUGUUUUUUUCCAGGAAAGGGGUCUUGACAGGUGAAGUGACCAAGAACAUGAAAUGAAUAAUUUCCAAGGCUGCUUAGUGGGAAGUGAACUAUCUGCCUCAUCACAGAGAGCAGAGGGAGGUGGCUGAAAGGGGUCCCUGAAGCUCAGAAAGCUACCUGUAUGGAUGCCUGCCUAUGUUCACAGGUGGAUCCCCACUUGUACCCAGCUUUUUGUCUCAUGGAAGGAACACUGGGUCCACUUUGCUCCUAAGAGCGACUAUGACUCAUCUCGAAAUAUUGAGGAAUAUUUUGCUUCUGUUGCUUCCUUCAUGUCACUCCAACUCAGAGAAUUGGUCAUCAAGUCCCUUGAAGAUCUCGUUUCCUUGUUCAUGAUACACAAGGAUGGAAAUGAUUUUGAGGAGCCGUACCAAGAGAUGAAGUUCUUUAUACCUCAGCUGAUCAUGAUCAAACUUGAAGUCAGUGAACCCAGAAUUGUCUUCAAUCCAUCUUUUGAUGACUGCUGGGAAUUAAUAACCAACUCUUUCUUGGAAAUUAUUAAGAACUCUGAUGGGAUCCCCAAGGUACAGUAUUCACUUAAUCAUUCAUUUGUAUUUUUCUUUUUGUUUCAUACAAUAUGUUAAAAUGGUUGUGCAAGACAUAGCAAUGACCUGGAGAGGUUCUACAGUGAACCCUCGAAUUAUGACUGCCCUGACAUAUGAGCAACAUGGGUUAAUUAGGUUAAUGGAAUAUUCACAUGCCUCUUGUUAUCCAUAGUGUGUACUCAGAUAAACAUCCAGAUCUCAGCUGUAUUGACUUACAAGCAAUUUAAGUUACAACCAGCCCUCAGAAACCUCAGUUAAGGGUCCUCUGUAUUUUAUGACCAGCAAUCUUGUCCAACAAGAGAUAAAUGGAUGAAGAAAAUGUG
RNAcentral lists this long non-coding RNA (1399 nucleotides) under Fukomys damarensis (Damara mole-rat). RNAcentral's name for it is "lncRNA (ENSFDAG00000024145.1)". The record is from RNAcentral. Lineage: Eukaryota; Metazoa; Chordata; Mammalia; Rodentia; Bathyergidae.